GACCCGAAUCCCUUGAGGAGCUUGCUCCUUUUUGGUGAGCGGCGGCCGGGUGAGUAACACGUAGGGUAACCUAGCCUGGUAAGACCUGGGAUAACUCCGGUGAAAUCGGGGCUAAUAGCCGGAUAAGUUGUUCCUCCGCAUGGAGGAACAUUGAAAGAUGGCUUCGGCUAUCACUUACAGAUGGACCCGCGGCGCAUGAGCUAGUUGGUGAGGUAACGGCUCACCAAGGCGACGAUGCGUAUCCGACCUGAGAGGGUGAUCGGCCACUCUGGGCACUGAGACACGGCCCAUACUCCUACGGGAGGCAGCAGUAUGGAAUCUUCCGCAAUGGACGAAAGUCUGAUGGAGCAUCGCCGCGUGAGUGAUGAUGGUUUUCGGAUCGUAAAACUCUGUUGUUAGGGAAGAACGAGUACCGUUCAAAUAGGGCGGUACCUUGACGGUACCUAACCAGAAAGCCACGGCUAACUACGUGCCAGCAGCCGCGGUACU
This 489-nucleotide ribosomal RNA is filed under the name uncultured bacterium. RNAcentral describes it as "bacterial SSU rRNA". It matches the Rfam family "Bacterial small subunit ribosomal RNA", at positions 59 to 524 of the family's 1533-position model. The record is from RNAcentral.